RNAcentral lists this long non-coding RNA (1049 nucleotides) under Struthio camelus australis. Its description in RNAcentral is "lncRNA (ENSSCUG00000011914.1)". The record is from RNAcentral. Lineage: Eukaryota; Metazoa; Chordata; Aves; Struthioniformes; Struthionidae.
CAGCAUAUGAGUGGCCUCGUUCAGUGCUCGAGGGGUGGCAGCAGAAUGUGUCCUUUUUCCUCCGCUUGGUAUUGCUUGUAAGACCUUUCAAUCUGAGAUGCAGAGGUUGCCGCAGCAUUCCAGGUCAGGGGUUGGAUUGCUGCAACAUGCUCCGCUGGGGACCGAGCUUACAGCUGAAACCAAGGGAGAAGUCAGCUAGGGCAGCCAUGAUAACCUUUUUAUUAGGCAGCAGGUCUUGCAAGAAAUCUGCUUCAUGUCUGCCUCAUGACUUGAAUUUCUAUUUUCCUCCCAUUAUUUUCCAGGUGCACCAUAAAGAUUUUGUUUUGAACUUUUUUUAAUUGCUACAGAUUUUUGGUCUUGGUUACUUUUUUUUUUUUUUGAGGACUUUUCUUCACCAUGUACAGCAAUGGAUGUGACAUGACUGAUCUUUUCAGUGAAAGAAUGCUGGUGGGCUUUGCCUGUGGUUUUAAAGUCCACAACCUGUAGUCCCGGGAUGGACCGUAGCCAGUGCUCCCUGCAGUGCCUGAGCCGUCUGUGCAAAGGAUGGAUUGAUCCCCCCUACUCAUCUCCCACAGGCUGGAUGAAGAGGACAUUUGGCUGGGUGUCCUGUGUUUCUGCACUGGUGCAAUGUGCCUUGUCACCUUUGGUGAGGCGUAUUGAUUUGAUUAGCAUCUUGAAGACAUUACAUAAACAGCCACCCAGGGAAAGCAAGACACUGAAUCUCAGGAAACGUCCAGGUGACAAACAAGAGGCGUGCAGAUAACCCGAAAGGGCAGCUUGUCAGGAGAGCAGAGAUGGGCUCAGUAUUUCCAAGAACUGGGCACAGAAGAGCAGCAGAGGAAGGCAGCGAUACGUCGCCUGAUGAGGAGCUCUUCUCCCAGCAGAGAUCCAGCAGUGAGAGUAGACUGAAGGUAAGUAAAACAACCUACAUUUUUUCCCUGGUCUGUGUGUGGAAGAAAGGGCCCAAGACUAUAAGCCCACUGAUAAUGUGAUAAUGUAAUCUGAGUUGAGGAGUCCUUGUUUCAUAAUUUAUCGGAUCACGUUUUGAU